Molecule: long non-coding RNA, 210 nt
Organism: Arabidopsis thaliana (thale cress)
Lineage: Eukaryota; Viridiplantae; Streptophyta; Magnoliopsida; Brassicales; Brassicaceae
Product: other RNA
Exons: 1
Source: RefSeq
GUAUAUAUACCUUACAAGAGAAGCCAAAUUGUUAAAAUUAAGGUUUAACAUCUCUAGUUGAAUCAUUCUCAUCAUCGCUAUCGCAAUUCUGGCUUUGCUCAUCGUCAGAAGACGGAGACGGAUCGAGACGGGCUGCGUCUAUAGCCCAUUGGAUCAGCUUAUCCACUUCAGCAUCUUCUCCGAUUUCAUCACCAUCUUCUCCGAUUUCAU